UACGUAGGGGGCAAGCGUUGUCCGGAAUCAUUGGGCGUAAAGAGCGUGUAGGCGGCUUGGCAAGUCGGAUGUGAAAGCCCUGGGCUCAACCCAGGAAGUGCACUCGAUACUGCCGAGCUUGAGUAUCGGAGAGGUUGGUGGAAUUCUCGGUGUAGAGGUGAAAUUCGUAGAUAUCGAGAGGAACACCGGCGGCGAAGGCGGCCAACUGGACGAAUACUGACGCUGAGACACGAAAGCGUGGGGAGCAAACAGG
This 253-nucleotide ribosomal RNA is filed under the name uncultured bacterium. Its description in RNAcentral is "partial 16S ribosomal RNA". It matches the Rfam family "Bacterial small subunit ribosomal RNA", at positions 524 to 776 of the family's 1533-position model. The record is from RNAcentral.